UGGGGAAUAUUGCACAAUGGGGGAAACCCUGAUGCAGCGACGCCGCGUGAACGAAGAAGGUAUUCGUAUCGUAAAGUUCUGUCCUAUGGGAAGAUAAUGACAGUACCAUAGAAGAAAGCUCCGGCUAAAUACGUGCCAGCAGCCGCGGUAAUACGUAUGGAGCGAGCGUUGUCCGGAAUUAUUGGGCGUAAAGGGUACGCAGGCGGUUUAAUAAGUCGAAUGUUAAAGAUCGGGGCUCAACCCCGUAAAGCAUUGGAAACUGAUAAACUUGAGUAGUGGAAAGGAAAGGUGAAUUCCUAGUGUAGUGGUGAAAUACGUAGAUAUUAGGAGGAAUACCAGUAGCGAAGGCGACUUUCUGGACACAAACUGACACUGAGGUACGAAAGCGUGGGGAGCAAACAGG
RNAcentral lists this ribosomal RNA (403 nucleotides) under bacterium. RNAcentral's name for it is "partial 16S ribosomal RNA". It matches the Rfam family "Bacterial small subunit ribosomal RNA", at positions 355 to 776 of the family's 1533-position model. The record is from RNAcentral.